UACAGAGGUCUCAAGCGUUGUUCGGAUUCAUUGGGCGUAAAGGGUGCGUAGGCGGUGGGGCAAGUCAGGUGUGAAAUCCCGGAGCUCAACUCCGGAACUGCACUUGAUACUGCCUUGCUAGAGUACUGGAGAGGAGACUGGAAUUUACGGUGUAGCAGUGAAAUGCGUAGAUAUCGUAAGGAAGACCAGUGGCGAAGGCGGGUCUCUGGACAGUUCCUGACGCUGAGGCACGAAGGUCAGGGGAGCAAACGGG
RNAcentral lists this ribosomal RNA (253 nucleotides) under uncultured bacterium. RNAcentral's name for it is "partial 16S ribosomal RNA". It matches the Rfam family "Bacterial small subunit ribosomal RNA", at positions 524 to 776 of the family's 1533-position model. The record is from RNAcentral.